AGUGAAACCUGCACAGGAUUGGAAUGGAAGGAACCAAAUGAGGGGCAGACUAGAAAAUUCAGGCCUAAGAAUUGUGCACUCCUUAUCAGGCUGGAAAUUCUCAAAGACCUUACUUCCAGCCUCUGGCAUGACAGAACAUGAAAAAGAAGUCAAUUAAUCGAGGACUAACCAACUAGAGCCAGUGAUGGGAAGGAUUCCUAAACCUUCAAAGUGUAAGCAAAUAUAAGAAGAUCUGGAUGUCUGAGGUGAUCCAUGCUUCAACUGCCUCAUUUAAGGACCAUGAAAAGGAGAGUUUAUCGAUGAAUAAGAAUGUGGGAGUGCCCAAACUUGAGAGUGAGUGCGGAGUAAUGAUAGCUCACUCACUUAAUGAUGACGACAU
Mobula hypostoma (lesser devil ray) is the source of this 379-nucleotide long non-coding RNA. RefSeq lists it as uncharacterized. The record is from RefSeq and is a predicted model, not a curated record. NCBI's taxonomy places the organism in Eukaryota, Metazoa, Chordata, Chondrichthyes, Myliobatiformes, Myliobatidae. The transcript has 3 exons.